RNAcentral lists this ribosomal RNA (492 nucleotides) under uncultured bacterium. Its description in RNAcentral is "partial 16S ribosomal RNA". It matches the Rfam family "Bacterial small subunit ribosomal RNA", at positions 29 to 507 of the family's 1533-position model. The record is from RNAcentral.
AGUGAACGCUGGCGGUAGGCCUAACACAUGCAAGUCGAACGGCAACACAGUAAGAGCUUGCUCUUACGGGUGGCGACUGGCGGACGGGUGAGGAAUACAUCGGAAUCUACUUUUUCGUGGGGGAUAACGUAGGGAAACAUACGCUAAUACCGCAUACAUCCUACGGGUGAAAGCAGGGGAUCUUCGGAACUUGCGCGAUAGAAUGAGCCGAUGUCGGAUUAGCUAGUUGGCGGGGUAAAGGCCCACCAAGGCGACGAUGCGUAGCCGGUCUGAGAGGAUGAUCAGCCACACUGGAACUGAGACACGGUCCAGACUCCUACGGGAGGCAGCAGUGGGGAAUAUUGGACAAUGGGCGCAAGCCUGAUCCAGCCAUACCGCGUGAGUGAAGAAGGCCUUCGGGUUGUAAAGCUCUUUUGUUGGGAAAGAAAAGCAGCAGAUUAAUACCCCGCUGUUCUGACGGUACCCAAAGAAUAAGCACCGGCUAACUUCGUG